UACGUAGGGGGCAAGCGUUGUCCGGAGUUACUGGGCGUAAAGCGCACGCAGGCGGUCUGUUAAGUUUGGAGUGACAGUUGGUGGCUUAACUGCCAAAGUGCUUCGAAAACUGAUCGACUUGAGGGCUUCAGAGGGACACGGAAUUCCGGGUGGAGUGGUGAAAUGCGUAGAGAUCCGGAGGAACACCGAAGGCGAAGGCAGUGUCCUGGGGAGUACCUGACGCUCAGGUGCGAAAGCCAGGGGAGCGAACGGGAUUAGAUACCCCGGUAGUCCUGGCCGUAAACGAUGACCACUAGAUGUGUGGGGUAUCGACCCCCUACGUGUCGUAAGCUAACGCGAUAAGUGGUCCGCCUGGGGAGUACGGUCGCAAGAUUAAA
This 377-nucleotide ribosomal RNA is filed under the name uncultured bacterium. RNAcentral describes it as "bacterial SSU rRNA". It matches the Rfam family "Bacterial small subunit ribosomal RNA", at positions 524 to 898 of the family's 1533-position model. The record is from RNAcentral.